ACCAAAACCACAACCAUGUCACUGCGAGACUGCCAGGUAUGCGCACCCCCUCGUCUGGAUCCUCUUGGGUCCAGGAGUUGGCCCAGCGCCGAGCAGUCGGGAGCAAACCUGCAGGCAUGGAAGGAUGCCGGUCUGCCACUCUCAACCACAAGCAAUGAAGCCUGCAAGCUGUUUGAUGCCACCUUGACCCAGUAUGUCAAAUGGACCAAUGACAAGAGUCUUGGUGGCAUCGAGGGCUGCCUGUCAAAGCUCAAGGCAGCAGACCCAACCUUUGCCAUGGGUCACGCCAUCGCUAACGGCCUUGUGCUCAUUGGCACCGGAAGCUCCGUGAAGCUGGACAGAGACCUGGACUUGGCUGUGAAGACCAUGGUGGAGGUUUCCCAAAGCCAGGCUCUGACACCUCGGGAGCAACUGCAUGUGUCCGCGGUGGAGAUGUUUGCCAAGGGGAACUUCCCCAAAGCUUGUGACCUCUGGGAACAGAUCCUCCGGGACCACCCAACAGACAUGUUGGCCCUGAAGUUUUCCCACGAUGCCUACUUUUACCUGGGCUACCAGGAGCAGAUGCGAGAUUCUGUGGCUCGAGUUUACCCCUUUUGGACACGUGAUACCCCCCUUAGCAGCUAUGUGAAAGGCAUCUACUCUUUUGGGCUGAUGGAAACCAACCUCUACGACCAGGCACAAAAGCUUGCCAAAGAGGCUUUAGCUAUUGAGCCGACGGAUGCGUGGUCAGUGCACACUGUUGCCCAUAUCCAUGAGAUGAGAGCAGAGGUCAAAGAUGGGCUGGAGUUUAUGCAGCACACCGAAGGCCACUGGAAGGACUCUGACAUGCUCGCUUGUCAUAAUUAUUGGCACUGGGCCCUGUACCUGAUUGAAAAGGGAGAAUAUGAGGCUGCACUAACCAUCUAUGACAGCCAUAUCCUCCCCAGCCUUCAGGCCAGUGGUGCCAUGCUGGAUGUGGUGGACAGCUGCUCCAUGCUCUACCGUCUCCAGAUGGAAGGGGUGUCCCUUGGCCAGCGGUGGCAGGCUGUCCUACCAGUGACUAAGAAGCAUACCCAGGACCACGUCCUUCUGUUCAAUGACGCUCACUUCCUGAUGGCCUCUCUGGGUGCCCGGGACCUCCAGACCACACAGGAGCUGCUGACCACCCUGAAGGAGGCCAGCGAGUCCCCAGGAGAGAACUGCCAGCACCGGUUGGCACAAGAUGUGGGGCUGCCCCUGUGCCAGGCCCUUGUGGAGGCUGAGAACGGGAACCCUGACCGAGUCCUAGAACUUCUCUUGCCAAUCCGCUACCGAAUCGUCCAGAUUGGGGGCAGCAACGCCCAGAGAGACGUCUUCAACCAGCUGUUGAUUCAUGCGGCCAUCACCUGCACUUCCAGCGUCCAUAAGAAUGUGGCCCGGUGAGCACUGCCCUUCCUACGGUCAGCCAGGCGUGGGUUAGUUCCCUACACAGGAUCUCAGCGGCAUGGGAGCCUUCUGAUGGAACGUGAUGCCUUGAAACCCAACUCACCCCUGACUGAGCGGCUCAUCCGCAAGGCAGCUGCUGUCCAUCUUAUGCAAUGACCCAGGCCCCGGUCCUUGGCCUACAGCUCAGUGCUAACCUCCUGGCAUUAGGUUGACUGUACGGUUGGGCUAGGGUUAGGAAAUAGCUGGGCCUGCUCGUCAGAGAAUAAGGUAGAAUUCUCCAAAUCAGUCUUUGGUGGAAAUAGGGGACAGAAGUUAAUUUUGAGUGAUAUUCAGAAUUCCUCUCAGGGUCAACAUGCAUUUUUAAGCCUCCAGAACCAAAGCAAUGCUAUUAUUUGCAGGUGCCUUGAACAUUGUACUUUCUUGUACUGAGGCUGGCAGGCAGGGCAGAGCUGUGGCCAGCUCAGCUGGGAGGUAUCCAAGCGCCUCCCACACACCUGGCACAGUGAAACUUUUCAUUGGUGUCCCUUCUCUUUUACACAGGGCCUGCUGUCCCAUUUCCCUGGGGAGGAUUUCAUUGAGCUGCCCGGGGUCCCAGCUAGCAGAGGCUUUUCCUUUUGGGAGGGGGUAGGGUUGGGGGAGGGUGUCGGGGUCCGAUGUCCCAACAUUAACUACUUUUCCCUCUCUGGACCAGCGUGGAGGAGACGGGAAUAAAGACACAACUCACAUGGUUUCAUUGGGUGGGAGAUUCUUUCUCAGUGGUCUCUCAUGAAAUCCUGAGUUCACAUCCUGAAGAAUUCCUCCGUUUAGUCUCCAAACAGUCUUAAUACCAUAACUUAACUGAGGGUGAAAUCCAUUAGCAUUCUGUCUCCUAGGUAACCAGGUGAAUGGCCUUUCGUCAUGUCCACAACUAUCUGUCUGCUCUGUGUGCUACUACAAAGAAAGGAGCAAAACACCCUGACCUUUUGUUAGGUUAGCGCCAGCCUGCCUGGCAGGAUACGUGACCCAUCUCAGGUGUGGCCUAUGGCUUGAUGGCUUGGCUGCCAUGCCAUAGAGAAAUAUGGGCCUCUGCUUCAACCUUGGUUGUCAGCCCCAGACUACUGCACCUGCCACCAUCCCCAGAGAUGAAGGGAAGGGUGGCUUCUGCCUCCCCGAGGGGAUCUAGUGGUGACAACUGGAGCUUCUCUUUAAAUUGCACAUGGAAGUGGAGCUGGAGGGAUGUGCCUUCCUUGGCCAACCUCUGAUUCUGCUUGUAUGAGUGGGUCUCGAACUCACAGAGAUCCACCUGCCUCUGCCUCCCGAGUGCUGGGAUUAAAGGCGUGCGCCACCACCACCCGGCAGCCUGCCCCUGCUAUUACACCACUUUUUGCUAUGAUUUCCUCUCUCUCUGGUCAGGAAGUGUGAACUCUUUAUCAUCCAGCCACUCAGUGGCCUCCACUGAAUACCUGCCUGUAAAAGUGGGUGUAUAGGCUUUAAUGAAGGAGGGCAUGAAUCUACCAGGACAAAACACUGAUUUAAAGUUUGUGUGUGUGUGUGUGUGUGUGUGUGUGUGUGUAGAUGGCUCCAUGGUUAAGAGCACUUGCUGAUCUUCUAGAGGACCAGAGUUCAGUUCCCAGCAUCCACGUGGCAGCUCACAAUUGCCUGAAGCUCUAGCCUCAGGGGAUGAGACACCCUCUUCUGCCCUGUGUAGGCACCUGCAUACAUACAUGUACAUGAUCACACAUCAACAAAGGAAUAAAAGUAUAUUUUAAAAGC
Molecule: RNA transcript, 3156 nt
Organism: Alexandromys fortis (reed vole)
Lineage: Eukaryota; Metazoa; Chordata; Mammalia; Rodentia; Cricetidae
Gene: Ttc38
Gene name: tetratricopeptide repeat domain 38
Exons: 14
Source: RefSeq, a predicted model, not a curated record